This 69-nucleotide transfer RNA is filed under the name Trichonephila inaurata madagascariensis. Its description in RNAcentral is "tRNA-Ser". It matches the Rfam family "tRNA". Rfam says of the family: Transfer RNA (tRNA) molecules are approximately 80 nucleotides in length. Lineage: Eukaryota; Metazoa; Arthropoda; Arachnida; Araneae; Nephilidae. The record is from RNAcentral.
GCAUCGGUGGUUCAGUGGUAGAAUGCUGCCGGCUACGCUCGCGGCCCGGAUCGAUUCCCGGCCGAUGCA